UACGUAGGGGGCUAGCGUUGUCCGGAAUCAUUGGGCGUAAAGCGCGUGUAGGCGGCUCGGUAAGUCCGCUCUGAAAGUCCAGGGCUCAACCCUGGGAUGCGGGUGGAUACUGUCGGGCUCGAGUCCGGAAGAGGCGAGUGGAAUUCCCGGUGUAGCGGUGAAAUGCGCAGAUAUCGGGAGGAACACCAAUGGCGAAGGCAGCUCGCUGGGACGUGACUGACGCUGAGACGCGAAAGCGUGGGGAGCAAACAGGAUUAGAUACCCCCGUAGUCC
RNAcentral lists this ribosomal RNA (273 nucleotides) under uncultured bacterium. RNAcentral describes it as "partial 16S ribosomal RNA". It matches the Rfam family "Bacterial small subunit ribosomal RNA", at positions 524 to 796 of the family's 1533-position model. The record is from RNAcentral.